UUGGACACGACUGAGUGACUUUCACCUCACUUGAGUUAAGGUUGUCCAGAUAGUAGUUGUUCCAAGAACCUGCUGUAAAUCAGUCACUCAUAUGACAAGCCUUGGGAAGA
Odocoileus virginianus texanus is the source of this 110-nucleotide long non-coding RNA. RefSeq lists it as uncharacterized. NCBI's taxonomy places the organism in Eukaryota, Metazoa, Chordata, Mammalia, Artiodactyla, Cervidae. The record is from RefSeq and is a predicted model, not a curated record.